RNAcentral lists this ribosomal RNA (964 nucleotides) under Hoferellus anurae. RNAcentral's name for it is "bacterial SSU rRNA". It matches the Rfam family "Eukaryotic small subunit ribosomal RNA", at positions 305 to 1099 of the family's 1831-position model. Lineage: Eukaryota; Metazoa; Cnidaria; Myxozoa; Bivalvulida; Myxobilatidae. The record is from RNAcentral.
UUCUGCCCUAUCAACUAGUUGGUAAGGUAGUGGCUUACCAAGGUGACAACGGGUAACGGGGAAUUAGGGUUCGAUUCCGGAGAGGGAGCCUGAGAAAUGGCUACCACAUCCAAGGGAGGCAGCAGGCGCGGAAAUUACCCGAUCCAGACAAUGGGAGGUGGUGACGAGAAAUACUAGAUGGCAUCCCAUAUGGGAUGUCAUACUGGAAUGGAGGUAAUUUAAGAAAUUCGAUGAGUAACAACUGGAGGGCAAGUCUGGUGCCAGCAGCCGCGGUAAUUCCAGCUCCAGUAGCGUAUGCUAACGUUGUUGCGUUUAAAACGCUCGUAGUCGGAGAGUGAGAUGUGUGUGGCAGUGGAUUGUGUGAUGAAUGCGGAAAAAUCUGGUGGUGAUGUGGGUUGUGCUAUGGUUAAUCCUGGUAUGACUGCAUGGCCAUUGGAGUGUUUGUGGCGCAAUUAAUGGCUGUUAUCACGCACACAUGUAUGAGUACGUUUGAGCGGGAGUUGACCUUUAGUGAGUCGGCUUUCAAUCUUGAACGAGAUGUGCCUUGAAUAAAACAGAGUGCUCAAAGCAGGCGAUAUUAGCUGGAAUGUGAUAGCAUGGAACGAACAAAGUGGUCGUGGAACUGGUAUGCGUGUGUGCAGGUGAGAGGUAAUACUCUUGACUGUGUCUGCGUGCCAGCUCCCAGCACCUACCACCAUCACGGAUGUUGGCUUCCGUCUUGGGGUGAUGAUUAAGAGGAGCGGUUGGGGGCAUUGGUAUUUUGCAGCGAGAGGUGAAAUUCUUGGACCUGCAAAGGACUCACAAAUGCGAAGGCAUUUGCCAGGACCGUUUCCAUUGAUCAAGAACGAAAGUGAGAGGUUCGAAGACGAUCAGAUACCGUCCUAGUUCUCACUGUAAACCAUGCCGACCCGGGAUCAGUUAUGAGCCUACAUAGAUAGCUCGCGGUUGGUCCCCCCGCGAAACC